Long non-coding RNA from Gordionus sp. m RMFG-2023, 330 nucleotides. RefSeq lists it as uncharacterized. NCBI's taxonomy places the organism in Eukaryota, Metazoa, Nematomorpha, Gordioida, Chordodea, Parachordodidae. The transcript has 3 exons. The record is from RefSeq and is a predicted model, not a curated record.
AAAUGCUGAACUCUUUUUCAUGAGAAACUUCAAAAGGAGAAAAUAGGAAAACCUACUUAAUUAAAUAUUCAUGUUAUUUAUUUUAUUGAAAUGUUAAUUUACAUGUGGAACUCUCAACAACAAAAAAACUUAAAGUACUGAAUGAAUUUAAUAGGUUAAUAAAUGUUUUGGAAGAAAGCCCAUCUGGGAUGCUGCAUUUUUUGAAUAGCCUUGUAGAGGAGGCUGAAUCCUUAAGCUAUGAGAAGCAAUUGCUGUUUAAAACAGAGGUUAUGAAAUAUUUAUAUCUCAAGACAAAUGAUAUAUCAUCAGAACCUAUAUCAUCACAACCUG